This 3465-nucleotide long non-coding RNA is filed under the name Sus scrofa (pig). Its description in RNAcentral is "lncRNA (ENSSSCG00015040445.1)". The record is from RNAcentral. Lineage: Eukaryota; Metazoa; Chordata; Mammalia; Artiodactyla; Suidae.
GGAGCAGCCCUAGAAAAGGCAAAAAAAAAAAAAAAAAAAAAAAUUUAGCAGAUUUCUGUGUAUUCGGCAACUUUACCAAAAUUGAUAAGCUGUUGACCUCUGAUAGUUUUCUGGUAAUAUCUUUAGAAUUUUCUGUGUAAUAGCAUCAUCUGCAAACAGUGGGUUUUACUUCUUUUCCAAUUUGGAUUCCUGUUAUUUCUUUAUUUUUUCUUCUCUGAUUGCCAUGGCUAGGACUUCCAAAACUAUGUUGAAUAAAAGUGGCAAGAGUGGGCAUCCUUGUUUUGUUUCUGAUCUUAGAGGAAAUGCUUUCAGCUUUUCACCAUUGAGAAUAAUGCCAGUUUGUUAUAUAUGCCCUUUAUUAUGUUGAGGUAGCUUCCCUCUAUGCUCACUUUCUGAAAACUUUUUAUCAUAGAUAGAAGUUUAAUUUUAGCAAAACUUUUUCUGCAUUUAUUGAGAUGAUCAUAUGAUUUUUGUUCUUCAACUUGUUUAUGUGCUGUAUCAUAUUGAUUGAUAUUUGGAUAUUGAAAAAUCCUUCCAUCCCUGGGAUAAGUCCCACUUGAUCAUGGUGUAUGAUCCUUUUAAUGUAUUGUUGGAAUCAGUUUGCUAAUAUUUUAUUAAGUAUUUUUGCAUCUAUGCGCAUCAGUAAUAUUCAUCAGUAAUUUUCUUUGUUUGUGGUAUCUUUGCCUGGUUUUGGUAUCAGGGUGAUGGUAACCUCAUAGAAUGGAUUCGGAAGUGUUCCUUCCUCUGCAAUUUUUUGGGAUGGUUUCAGAAGGAUAGUUGUUAGGACAGGCUAGUCUUAAAGUGUUGCUUGGAAUGACUAACUCAGCUAAGUGAGUUUUUGGCAAAAGAUAUAAAAGGAAAUUUGUACAAAGGAGAGGCAUUGUGGAGUACAACAGUGGAAGGAGCUCAGCCUUUAGAGUCAAAUAGGCCUAGGUUUACAUAAUGACUGCUCUAUUUAAUAAUUAUAGGUUUGGGCAAAAUGAAUUAACGACUGCUGGUUUCAGUUUUCCUAUCUACAAAAUAGGAUAAUAACAUCCACUCUAUAGUAUUGUUGUUGGGUUUAAAUGAGGAAAAUUAUCUAUAGCAUUUAGUCCAAGUGCCCAAUACACAGUGGGCAUUUAAUAGAUGAAACUUUAUUUCCUUCCCUCCAUAGAAUUCACUCCUUUUCAUGAAGUCUGCCUACUUCUGCUACCCAAGGGGUUACUGUUAAGGCUGCUUAUAGAACUAAAAUUUUAUUUUUCUGUGAGAAAGCCAAUUUUUAAAUAUUGGACCAAUUCCAUUAUGUGCUGCCUUACUCAAUGUUAAGUACGAUCAGCUGGAAGGAACCAACUUAACUGAGUUCUACCCAAGGAUGACAGCAGUGGUUCUGUGCAGAAUGGUGCAUGGCAGUAACAUACAGGAGAUAAUUGGUUACAGGCAUUCACUGAGUGGUGAGACAACCUAAUAUUCAGGUAUUCCUAAAGAGUCCUAAGAAUUGUGCUUUCCCUAAUAUAUCAGUAUUAAUGUGAAGAGUAACGUGCUUCAAAAGAUGUGCUGGUGGCAUAUAAAUCCAUGGCAGGAGAGAGUCAACCAUCUCAGAGUCUACCCUCUGGUGUUACAGGGGCUCCUGGACAAAGGUGAAGAUCCUAAUAGCAAGUGAUUAACCUUCACGAUGACAGACUCUUUCAUACCUUUCAAAGCAACUGUAGUUAGCAGUAGUAUAUUCUGAAUAAAAAGAUGGUAUGUGCACAUAGACACCCUGCCUUUGUGUGCAUAUACAAAUAACACCUUUGAACACACACACGAGGCAGAAGCCACGUGUAAAUUAAUACGUGAUUACAAAAAAGAUCCAAAGAGGCCUUCAGUAAAGUAAUAGCAAUAAAAGGGAAAAUAAAACUGUAAAAGGAAAGGGAAAAAUAACAUACUAAAAGUAGAGUUUCUUUUUUAAUGGCCACGUCUGCAGCAUAUAGGAGUUUCCAGGCUAGGAGUCGAAGCAGAGCUGCAGCUGCAGGCCUAUGCUGUAGCCAUAGCAAUCCCAGAUCCUUAACCACUGACUCAGGCCAAGCCAAGUAUCGAACCUGACUCCUCACAGACACUAGUCUGUCAUUAUAAAGGAUAAUGGUCACCACCGAGCCACAAUGGGAACUCCCCAAAGUAGAGUUUUAAGUCACAUGAACCAAAGAUUUCAGUUAUCUAGAAGUUAUUUUCCUGAAACCUCAGCAACAUGGAAUAUAGCCAAGAACAAGGCAGUAAAGCAACACGAUGCCUCUUAGGAACCAGUAUAAAUAUCACACAGUUCUCAGAAAAACUGAUUCUAUUUUCCAAGCCUUUAAUUACCUAAGGAAUUUUUUUCCCCCAAGUUUUCCUGCCUUCAGAAAUUAGACGAAUUCACCUACAAAAAGUUUUCUGUGACAUAAUGAUUUCAGCAAAAACUAAUAAGUCUGAUAAGAUGGAAGGAGUUGGAAAAAUUAUAACAAGCAAAAUAAAACAAAACAAAAACACCCAGUAGCCACAGACUGUGGCACAUAGCAUGUGGAAUGAGCAUUAAGGGCUUUGCCAGUUUACAGCAUAGUGUAAUAAUUAUUGUUAGUAAUGACGGCUCUGAGUUAUUUAGACACAGUUUAGAUCAUGGUCAAGAUACUCUUUAAGAAAGGAAACAGUAUAUAAGACUGUUACAUUUCACAAAGAUAUCCUUUUUAAUUUGUGAAAGUAAGAAAACAUGGCGCUUCAAGGAUAAAUGUCAAAUAGCUAAAAUUUUACUUAUGUGAAACAAUGUUGUGAGGCUUUGUGAGGAUUUACAAUGCAUUUAUGGACUAUGGAGGUAAAGUGUGCUUCAGGCAGUAUGGUGCACGUUAGAAUCUUGGAAUCUUGAUUGUCUCAUCAGUCACCUUGGCCUCUGUGCUUCGGUCAGGCUAGCCUGGCAAUUGACUGUCCAUGGGGAUGGACUGUGCUUAUACUUGGUCUCAUAGAAAAGCAGAAUGGAAGCAACACAGUGGCAGUAACACUAACAUUAGUAGUGGUAGCAGCAGCAUCAAUUACUAUUUAAUGAGCCGCAUUCUCCCCACUGUCUCUUUCAAGCCACCAGGGUACCAUUUUGUGCAACAGAGUGGUAAAUCACAUGGUUCUCGACUGGGUUGAAAGAGUAACUGCAUCUCCCCCGGAAUUCAACACAUUACCUGAGAGUGAGGAAAGCUUUGGGGAGAAUAAAGGCCAUUUAGGGCCCCCAAGGUGUAAGACAUUGCCAAAAGUACCACCAUUUCCCCAUUAUUCUGUAGGACGAAAUGGAUCUCAGCCGUCAAGAAGAGGUGGUCCAGUGGCACUUGAUGUUCAUUCUCUCCUACAGGGAAAAAACCAAUACACUAUCAGUUUCAGAAAAUUGUGGGUGGUUAGAAAAUCUUUUGCCCUGAUUCCAGUUAUUAAUUUAGUUGGGAUUUAUUCCCAGUCUCCUUCCAAAUAUUUUAAGUAGUUUUGCAUGAAGGACACUAG